CUGGCAGAGGGCAGCUUUGGCUGGGCACGGCGGCGAGAAGAACGUUGCACCACAACGGACCCAAACAAAAAACGCAAAUGGGGAGAGAGUGGAGCCACGAUCGGGGACAGAGGACCCGGGACGACAGCCAGCCCCUGACAAAAGCCGUAACCGCACACUUUUCGAGAGACACUGCCCUUGGCGCCCAGAACCUCCCCAAGAGGCAUCAGGAACUACAAACGGCCUCACGGUGACCAAAUUGGUGGCAGGACCCCCCCGGCACUAGUCACGGACUCUGACUUCCUGUUUCAGCUAGCUGCCCCUGACAACCCUGUCCUUGAGGCUGAGGUAGUAGAUUGAAUAGUUGUGGAGCUUCUAUAAGGCCUCCCUCAGAAAUAACUAUGCAAUCUACUGGCUUUGCUAAGAGGACAGCCGCAUCGUCGAGCCACCCCAGCGAUGAAGGGAAGAAACCCUGGACUCUAUAUUUCACGCCACCUGCCUCUCAUCAACUUCCCCCAUUCUCCAUACGUAGCUGUUAUGAAAGAAAUAUUAAGAGAUUCACCUCCAUGAUAAUGCACAUAUAUUAGCACAGUUACCAUUCAUGUCAUUUGGUAGCCCCUGUAUGAUCAUGCACAUAUAUUAGCACAGCUAUCAUUUUCCCAUUGGACAGCCCCUGGAUGAUCGACGUUUCUCCCAGCAUUGGUGGAUUAUGCUGCCCUGCUGUGUCCCUGCAGAGUGAGGUAGUAGGUUGUAUAGUUCGGUGGAAUGAAUCACAUCCUUUUCAGGAGAUAACUAUACAGUCUAUUGCCUUCCCUGAGAGACACGAUGUCUGCAGGUUGCGUUUGAACAAGGUAGUUCUGAUUCCGGAAGGACGCAAGCCAUGACAGUGUGGGAAUUAUAGGUAUACUGAUAUUUCAGUAUUAGCUGCAAAACAUACAGUCACAGCAAAAAUGGCUUGAACACCUCAAGAAAUACCUGUUUUGUUUAUGUUUGCUUGUUUAUGCAAAAUAAAUAAAUAUAAUUAAGCUA
Long non-coding RNA from Paramormyrops kingsleyae, 1008 nucleotides. RefSeq lists it as uncharacterized. The record is from RefSeq and is a predicted model, not a curated record. Lineage: Eukaryota; Metazoa; Chordata; Actinopteri; Osteoglossiformes; Mormyridae.